RNAcentral lists this ribosomal RNA (112 nucleotides) under Caerostris darwini. The record is from RNAcentral. Lineage: Eukaryota; Metazoa; Arthropoda; Arachnida; Araneae; Araneidae.
AACGGUCAUACCAUGCUGAAUAUACCGGUUCUCGUUAGAUCACUGAAGUCAAGCAUCAUUGGGCGCGGUCAGUACUUGGGUGGGUGACCACCUGGGAACACCGCGUGUCGUU